UACGAAGGGGGCUAGCGUUGUUCGGAAUUACUGGGCGUAAAGGGCGCGCAGGCGGCCCGCCAAGUCAGAUGUGAAAGCCCCGGGCUCAACCUGGGAACUGCAUUUGAGACUGGCGGGCUUGAGUUCGGGAGAGGAGAGCGGAAUUCCCAGUGUAGAGGUGAAAUUCGUAGAUAUUGGGAAGAACACCGGUGGCGAAGGCGGCUCUCUGGACCGAUACUGACGCUGAGGCGCGAAAGCGUGGGGAGCAAACAGG
RNAcentral lists this ribosomal RNA (253 nucleotides) under uncultured bacterium. RNAcentral's name for it is "partial 16S ribosomal RNA". It matches the Rfam family "Bacterial small subunit ribosomal RNA", at positions 524 to 776 of the family's 1533-position model. The record is from RNAcentral.